RNAcentral lists this ribosomal RNA (324 nucleotides) under uncultured eukaryote. RNAcentral's name for it is "partial 18S ribosomal RNA". It matches the Rfam family "Eukaryotic small subunit ribosomal RNA", at positions 1470 to 1796 of the family's 1831-position model. The record is from RNAcentral.
CCCUUAGAUGUUCUGGGCUGCACGCGCGCUACACUGAAGCUAUCAACACGUUUUCCCUCCCUGAGAAGGGCGGGUAACCUUUUGAAUCAGCUUCGUGGUAGGGAUCGGGGCUUGCAAUUGUUCCCCGUGAACCAGGAAUUCCUAGUAGACGCGAGUCAUAAGCUCGCAUCGAUUAAGUCCCUGCCCUUUGUACACACCGCCCGUCGCUACUACCGAUUGAACGUUUUAGUGAGGCAUUUGGACCGACGCAUCUCAGUUUAACCACUGGUUUGUGUUGGAAAGACUUCCAAACUUGAGCGUUUAGAGGAAGUAAAAGUCGUAACA